GAUGAACGCUAGCGGGAGGCCUAACACAUGCAAGCCGAGCGGUAGAGAUUCUUCGGAAUCUUGAGAGCGGCGUACGGGUGCGGAACACGUGUGCAACCUGCCUUUAUCAGGGGGAUAGCCUUUCGAAAGGAAGAUUAAUACCCCAUAAUAUAUUUGAUGGCAUCAUUAGAUAUUGAAAGCUUUGGCGGAUAGAGAUGGGCACGCGCAAGAUUAGAUAGUUGGUGAGGUAACGGCUCACCAAGUCGAUGAUCUUUAGGGGGCCUGAGAGGGUGAUCCCCCACACUGGUACUGAGACACGGACCAGACUCCUACGGGAGGAAGCAGUGAGGAAUAUUGGACAAUGGGUUAGCGCCUGAUCCAGCCAUCCCGCGUGAAGGACGACGGCCCUAUGGGUUGUAAACUUCUUUUGUACAGGGAUAAACCUACUCUCGUGAGAGUAGCUGAAGGUACUGUACGAAUAAGCACCGGCUAACUCCGUG
RNAcentral lists this ribosomal RNA (479 nucleotides) under uncultured bacterium. RNAcentral's name for it is "partial 16S ribosomal RNA". It matches the Rfam family "Bacterial small subunit ribosomal RNA", at positions 28 to 507 of the family's 1533-position model. The record is from RNAcentral.